Long non-coding RNA from Bombus terrestris (buff-tailed bumblebee), 801 nucleotides. RefSeq lists it as uncharacterized. The record is from RefSeq and is a predicted model, not a curated record. The transcript is spliced from 2 exons. NCBI's taxonomy places the organism in Eukaryota, Metazoa, Arthropoda, Insecta, Hymenoptera, Apidae.
UACGUAGUUCAUGACCGACAUCUUGUCCGCGGUGACUCUCGGCUGUCGUACGAGCGUAUUUUUGAUAGUUGCGGAAUCUUCCGCAUGGUGGAAGCUGCGUAAGAUACUUUUGUAUCUGGAAGUUUAGCAUAAAGGUUAUAGGUUAUACCGGUUUGUUUCCUUUAGUAUAAAUUGGCGGCGAGCAUGUUUAGACGGUCCAGAUAGAGAAGUAGACUGUGACAAGUGGAAUGACGACGAGAAGCAAUAGGAGGACUAAUGAGAAGAAGGAAAGCAGCUUGUUUUAUCGCUGACAAUGAGAAAUCUCUUGAAUAUCUCAUUGGCUGCGUGCAAGCGUGGAAGAAAAAGUGUGAAAUAAAGCAAGAAGUAGCAGGGAGAAGUAGCGCGUGAAUGUGUAAAUAAGAAUGUGUAAAUGAAAGCGUUAAUGAAAGUGUUUGAAAAUGUGAAGCGUUCUGCGUAAAGCAGGUAGUGAUAAAAGCAAAGUGAAGUAUAGGGUGAAAGGACUAAGUGUGUAAUAAAAAUGCGUAAAUGAAAUAAACGCAUAUCUAAUCUGGAGGUGCGAAAGAUGGAGAGGGAAAUGUAAUAACGAUGUUGAUUCAGCAUGAGAGUUUGUCGAAACAUGGGUUAACUUUGUGAAAAUUGUGAAAUAUGUAUAAAGAUCGUAGGUUAGACGCGUGGAAGUUGACAUAGGUAAGAAAAGAGUUAAAAGGGAGUAUAAAAUGAUAUAACAGGUAAUACGUAAUGCAAUAUAGUUUUAAUUAAUUAAAGACUAAAGAAUAAAUAAAGAUACGUUUAGAAGAUGUA